RNAcentral lists this long non-coding RNA (553 nucleotides) under Apteryx rowi (Okarito brown kiwi). RNAcentral describes it as "lncRNA (ENSARWG00000011592.1)". The record is from RNAcentral. Lineage: Eukaryota; Metazoa; Chordata; Aves; Apterygiformes; Apterygidae.
UGCCGCGCCCCAACGGCUGCCGCGCACCGCGCAUGCGUGGGGCUGCCCGCCCCCCCCCCGCUGGGGCACCAUGGGAGCGCCCGGGGCAUCAUGGGAGCAUCCAGAGCAUCAUGGGAGCGCCCGGGGCAUCAUGGGAGUGCCUGGAGCAUCAUGGGAGCAUCCAGAGCAUCAUGGGAGCGCCCGGGGCAUCAUGGGAGUGCCCAGGGCCUCAUGGGAGUGACAUGGGGCAUCAUGGGAGCACCCAGGGCAUCAUGGGAGUGAGGUGGGGCAUCAUGGGAUGCUCCCACUUGGCAUGCCCCACCCUGGGGCUGAUGGGAGCUGCUGCCCCAGAGGCUCAUGGGAGCCACUGCCCCGCAGGUGAUGCCGCGUGGAUGGAGGCCCCCCGCGGGGACCAGGCUGAGCUGAUGACCCCCGACCCCAGGGCGCCCGGACGCCUGGACCCCCCCGCGGCCACGCCCCCAGGGGAGCCGGCCCCCAAGCAGGCCGUGUCGGAGGCGCUGGCGGCCGCCCGGCUCCAGGCCCUCGGCCUCCACCACGACCACGGCUACAGCGG